This 373-nucleotide ribosomal RNA is filed under the name uncultured bacterium. RNAcentral describes it as "bacterial SSU rRNA". It matches the Rfam family "Bacterial small subunit ribosomal RNA", at positions 28 to 402 of the family's 1533-position model. The record is from RNAcentral.
GACGAACGCUGGCGGCGUGCUUAACACAUGCAAGUCGAGCGGUAAGGCCCUUUCGGGGGUACACGAGCGGCGAACGGGUGAGUAACACGUGGGUGACCUGCCCUCAGCUCUGGGAUAAGCCUGGGAAACUGGGUCUAAUACUGGAUAUGACUCCACGGUGCAUGUCGUGGGGUGGAAAGCCUUGUGCGGCUGAGGAUGGGCCCGCGGCCUAUCAGCUUGUUGGUGGGGUGANGGCCUACCAAGGCGACGACGGGUAGCCGGCCUGAGAGGGCGACCGGCCACACUGGGACUGAGACACGGCCCAGACUCCUACGGGAGGCAGCAGUGGGGAAUCUUGCGCAAUGGGCGAAAGCCUGACGCAGCGACGCCGCGU